Molecule: long non-coding RNA, 1013 nt
Organism: Cyprinus carpio (common carp)
Lineage: Eukaryota; Metazoa; Chordata; Actinopteri; Cypriniformes; Cyprinidae
Exons: 3
Source: RefSeq, a predicted model, not a curated record
GAGGCGUCGAAACUACCAAAUCGGAGAUCUUAAAUCUGGUUUUGUCUGUGCUUGCCGAGUGCGAAGAAAGUUUGUGGUUUUAAUAUACUGACAUAUACACUGCAAUGACGUUUUAAACAACGUUUCAGUAACCACAAAAUUCGUCACAAUGCGCUUAAAUGCUUAAGAGGGUUUUAAUAAAUGUUUGUAAUUUAAAAUAGUAACAAUGAAAAUGACGGGGUUUUUAAAAGAAAUUAUUGAGCAUUACAAUAAAUUGUAACAAUUAAGUCCACAAGAAAGAAGAACAAUCUUACUCUGCAAUACAGCAUUUAAGAGAAGAGAGAAAAUAAAGUAGUAGUAGUAACAACAUACAUAUAAACAACUAAACAACAGUUCAAAUUAUCUUCCUUCUUCCUUAGGACGAAAUCAAGGACUACAGUUGGGGAACUAUACAAGAAAAAAAAAAUACAAAAAAAAAAUCCUCCAUGAAAUCUCACAGUAUGUCAUUCUUUUUGUUAUGAAUUUGCAUAAGAGAAUCUUUCAAAAAAAAAAUUCUCAUAUAAAUAUAUUACAUUUUGGUGUGCAUUUCCCUAAUUUUUGUUUAUGAAUGUCAUAUUUACCUUGCAAAAUGUAAAAGUCAACGACAUAAUCAUUUUGCUUUAACGUAGCGCUACAGUCGAACUGUGUUGCGUCAGCACGUGUUGCGUCAGCACGUGUUGCGUCAGCACGUUGUGAGCGAUUGCAAAACGUUGCUUGGAAACUAGUCAUCCACAAAACAACUUUCGCAGAGGUUGACAAGCAAUGCAUCUGCAAGUGUCAUGCUCCGAUGAACAAAAGAUACACAUCCCUGCAGUAUUCACAGCAACGGUGAAGCUGAAGGCCAGACUACUGGAUAGCACCAACUACAAAAUCAUUUCAUCAAACACCGGACUUUAUUGUUGGGUUUCAAAAUCCUUUUUAAAACAGAACUGGGUUUCUAACAGUUCUGAUUGGAUUUGCUCAAGAAUUCUCAACAAAUAAAACACUGGCCAUUU